This 532-nucleotide unclassified non-coding RNA is filed under the name Hevea brasiliensis (rubber tree). The record is from RNAcentral. Lineage: Eukaryota; Viridiplantae; Streptophyta; Magnoliopsida; Malpighiales; Euphorbiaceae.
UCAAUCAUCUCUUUGGGCAGCUUUUUUGGACAACUUGCUCAAAACAGCAAUUAUGGUUACAGUUUCUAGUCCCACUGACACUGCAAAGGGGCUCAGCAACGGGGAUGAGGAAAUCGUUAGCUUGUCUAUAUGAAAGGAAAAAAGUCUCGAGGAAAAUGCAACCAUCGGAGCAGGCCCAUAGUGGCUGUUUGCCACAAUCCCUCUUCUUCGCUUCCUUCUCUCCGUUUGGUCAAACCACACAUACAGAUCAAUCUCUCAAUUACACACGUUCACCACAGAUGAUACAAUCGUGAUUAACAUGGUCGAUCAUACUACCAUCGCGAUAAUCAUGUUCUGCAUCUUCCCAGAAAUAAACAUCGUCAUCUUCCUCGUUUGUGCUCCUAAGCUUAGCCUCAAGCACGUUGCGCUUCAAAUAUUCUGAGUGAUAACAAGAUCAAGACCUUCUCUUUCUUCUGUGUUUUCUUUUCAUCAGAGAAAAUCCUCUUCUUUCUUCAGUCGAGCGUUUUUGGAUGGUCAGAGCAGGCUGCUCAAA